Molecule: long non-coding RNA, 747 nt
Filed under: Brassica rapa (field mustard)
Lineage: Eukaryota; Viridiplantae; Streptophyta; Magnoliopsida; Brassicales; Brassicaceae
Description: long non-coding RNA (BRAP_LNC003000)
Source: RNAcentral
AAAUUGUUCUCGGCUGUUUCCCUGAGCUGUGCAGAUGAAGUUUUGGCGAUGAUGACCGGAGAAGAUUAACUGAGAGCAAAAACAGGUUACCGGAGUUACAAGAAUCGAGAAGCAGUGCAUCUUCUGAUCUUGUAGUGAAACGUGUGAAAGUUCUCCUUAGGAACUUACGCGUAUUAAAGUAGCUGAAUCAUCAUUUUGCUUUCUUUGGGGCGUGUAACAUUAUCUUGGAAAUAGGAAUAGCCAUUAGACCUUGGGAGCAACUUUAACGAUGAUUUCUAGUAGAGUUUUUAAGAUUAAAAGAAAAUGAAAAAAAGAAUAAAAACAUGAGAGAGAGGUUGAGGUCUUAGGCCUGCCGACGAAGGUUUGGUUGAGAAGGGGCGUUUAACCUCAGGUGUUUGUUUCCUCUUGAAUUUGGUAGGUUUUGUGGUUCUGGCUUGGUAUCGUGAACUGGAGGUUCAGGUAUGUUGAGUUUGGUUUCGUUGUAUUGGUCACUGCAUCGCUCACUCUCUCUUGUGCUUGUAUGGGUUUCGGCAAGAGUUCCGGCUGUUUCAAUGAUUAAAGGACUUUCUUCUUUCUCCUGGUCUAGGAUUGUUUAUGGGUUUAGAUGCAGGAGUGUAGUUUUAUCUAGUGAUAAUUGUAGUUGUUAUGUGUUGCCCGUUGUUUGGGUUCUAGAUUCUCUUUUGUGAGCUAAGUUUCCGGGGAUUGUAAUGUGUUUCCGCCGGUUUGGAUUCCAUCUUUGUAUGUUUC